GCGCCCGUAGCUCAGCCGGAUAGAGCGUCUGACUACGAAUCAGAAGGUCGGGAGUUCGAAUCUCUCCGGGCGCA
This 74-nucleotide transfer RNA is filed under the name Candidatus Aminicenantes bacterium 4484_214. RNAcentral's name for it is "tRNA-Arg". It matches the Rfam family "tRNA". Rfam says of the family: Transfer RNA (tRNA) molecules are approximately 80 nucleotides in length. Lineage: Bacteria; Candidatus Aminicenantota. RNAcentral also lists the same sequence under 2 other names. The record is from RNAcentral.